CCUACGGGCGGCAGCAGUGGGGAAUAUUGCACAAUGGGGGAAACCCUGAUGCAGCGACGCCGCGUGAGUGAAGAAGUAUUUCGGUACGUAAAGCUCUAUCAGCAGGGAAGAAAAUGACGGUACCUGACUAAGAAGCCCCGGCUAACUACGUGCCAGCAGCCGCGGUAAUACGUAGGGGGCAAGCGUUAUCCGGAUGUACUGGGUGUAAAGGGAGCGUAGACGGCAGCGACAGUCUGGAGUGAAAUCCCAUGGCUUAACCAUGGAACUGCUUUGGAAACUGUGCAGCUAGAGUGCAGGAGAGGUAAGCGGAAUUCCUAGUGUAGCGGUGAAAUGCGUAGAUAUUAGGAGGAACACCAGUGGCGAAGGCGGCUUACUGGACUGUAACUGACGUUGAGGCUCGAAAGCGUGGGGAGCAAACAGGAUUAGAUACCCUAGUAGUC
RNAcentral lists this ribosomal RNA (440 nucleotides) under uncultured bacterium. RNAcentral's name for it is "partial 16S ribosomal RNA". It matches the Rfam family "Bacterial small subunit ribosomal RNA", at positions 338 to 795 of the family's 1533-position model. The record is from RNAcentral.